GUUGUGUGUAUGUGUGUAGGCAGCCAGUGGGGAUCUCAGCUGUGUUGGUACUGAUGAAGUGGAGAAGACGUGGUCAUUCACCUACUUCAUGGGCCAGUACAAUACUCUCAUCGAGUGGCUACACAGCAUCCAAGAGGCAGUGCAUCUCGAAGCAACUGAACAUGAGCCCCACGUAGCAGAGAUGCAGCAGAGGAGCCACCUGCGGGCACGCUUUAACGAGAAUGCAGAGAAGCUCUCGCGCCGCUACCCAAACAUGAAGGACGAGGUGAACUGGCGCGUGAACUUGCUCAACCACAAGUGGGACACACUAGAGUGCGUCAUCACACCGAAGAAGGGCAGCAAGAAGAAUGACGACAAGCUCUUCGCAGAUCUUGAGGAUGACAUCUGGAAUGUUCGGCAAUGGUUAGGAGAAGUAGACGAAAAAAUGAAAAAUGGACCACCAGAUGACAGCACAUGGACAUUACAGCAGUUGGAGGACAAACUGAAAGAACAAAAGCUGACUCAGGUGGCGAUCGAGUCGCGCUCGAAGCUCAUCUGUGGAUUGCUGAAGCUGUGCGACCACCUGCAAGCCGACAACAAGGUCUACCCGUCCUCGAUAGACGUUGACUCGGUGCAGGCCGUCGUCUACCAGCUCGAACGCCGCUGGCACGCCCUCUGGCUGCAGAGUCUCGAGUUCACGUUCCGGCUGGAGCAGAUGAUCAGGGACUGGCAGGAAGGAAAACCAGGUGAGGGCACCACAGUCUGCCAGCAGGAACAAGACAUCAGUCUUCCCGAGGUUGUGCGAGGAGAAGGAUCGGAGAGCGAUCGCAGCGACGUGAUCCCGUUUUCCGCAGAGGAAUACGAACGAUUCUCAUCUGACAUGGACCAGAGCACUGACUUCCACCCCGCCGUCGAUCGCCGGUCGACGCCCGCUGCGGAUGCCCUGCACAGGUGGCAGCACAAGAGCACGAUGGUGGGCGACACGGGCAUGCAGGACCUUCACAGCGCCGUCGCGUGCGGCACCAAGUUUGAACUCGUCGUGAAAGACAUCGGUUACUCGAGUGAGAGCUCUCUGCACUGCUCUAACGACGAGCUGGAGCGUGUGGGGAGCGUGGCGCGCGCCGACCCGCGGCCGCACGGUGGCACCCCUGAGCAGCCGCACGUGGCAGAUGGCUGGUGGGCAGGGAGUAGUGCGCGGGGUCGUGUCGGCGAGGAUGCUGCGCAUGUCGACGUCCUGCCCAGGGCUUUGCCAUCGUCGCUGUUUUACGAGGUGAAUCCUGCCGUCGAUGGAAACUCAGAGGGCGACGAAGAGAUCCAAGCGCCCCCUGGUGCACGGAAAUCUCUGCGUUUCAGCGUGGAAGAUCAGACUCGAACUCGACUCGAUUUCGUCGCACAGAGUACGGAGACACACGUUGAGACACUGACACCCGUUAUUGAUGGAGUUGAUCACGGGCGAGCAUCUGCGAUGCAGCCUGCCGCAGACCCAGACGUAUCUCGCAGGGGCACACUGUUGACACUGCCCUCUGGUGACUCGCUGUCAGCUUCCAAUGUACAGUUGUUCUUUCCCUGCGAUGUUCCGACCAACGCGAACGACUCUAUGUUCGUGAACAACGGCAGCUUCCUCGACCUGAACGCGUCAUCCGAGACGCGCGCGGUGUGCCUCGACGCACAAACGCGACUCGAACACCAGGUGGCGCUGAUGCGCUUCGAGGAGCGGCUGCUUGCCAUGCAGCAUGUGCCACAUGCAGGUCAUGACCUCGACACCAGCAUCACCUGGGCGGAGCGACCAGCAGUUAGCAUCGACGCUGUCACGGUGAUCGCGUGCGAGACCGAUGCACUCAAGACGACGACGACAACCAUGCAGUACGACGUGCGAGCCAUCACAACGUGUAAUCAGAACGACACCGUGCCGCCGUGGGACGGAUAUGGGAAGAAUCCGCAGUCAAAAGACAUCCCUGGUAGUAGCCAACCGAUGCGGGACAGCUCCUGCGAUGCGUCGGGGGAUUACACCAGCGAGGCGACGGACGCUUCGGGCGAAAACACGAGCGACUCUGACAACGACGACGAAAUCUCAAGCGAGGAUGAGAGUGCGCGCGGCAGCGUGAUCGCUGUCGAUCCGCCACGCGAUGGUGGCGCCCUCACAGUGCCGCGCGAUGGUGGCACCCCUGCCGUGGCUGUGCGGCGGCGGCGGCGGGCCGGUUCGGAGCAGCGGCCACGCAGCAUCGAGUACGCACGCGCACCAUGGCCCCUUGACGCGUCGCCGCUGUCGACGUCAGACAACGUGCUGUACGUGCUCGCCAGCAGCACGCCGACCACCACGCCAGGGGGCGCCACAGGACAGAAGCUGCGGCGCUCGCAGGGGAAGCUGGAGCUGAGGCAGGAGCGGAGGAGGAGAGGGAGGCGGGGAACGCUGCGCAGGACGCAAUCGGACAGCCCGGGUAGCUCAACGCACACGAUCCCACAUUCCCUGUCGGCUAACUCCGGGCUUGCGUACCUGCAGCAGGUGACGCCCAGGUCUGCCAGUGAUGGUGCUAAAGAUGACUAUGUCGGUAAUCUUACCGAGGAUGGCACUGCGUUCCCUGUCUGCCCAACAUCAGUGCCAGCUAUGGCACCAACUGCCCUCUUUGCCGGAGAUGCCGCAGCAGGACUCAUUGACAGUGGGACGAAUGUUCAAGCUUCUGGGAAUAUUAGCGAUACUGAAAAGCAGUUUGUGCCAGGAGUGGAAACAGUGAGUUCGCUAUCAGAUGCUGCAUGGGAUAAUUACCAGGAGCCACUGUACAUUAACAGUGUUGAUACUGACCAGUCUGCAUGGCGGGAGGUAGCUAGGAAGAUGAUUGAGCAGUAUGGGGAGGACUACCACGCCACCAUACCGCUCGAGUCGGACAGUGGCAGCGAGGUGCACUCGGUAGACUCACCACUCAGGGCGGUUACAAAGCAUGCCAGUAGUACGCCGAGCAGAAAGGAUAUGUCCGCACACAGCAGCGGUCAUCCUAUACCACUGGACUCUGACUCUGACUCUGACCUUGAGGAUUUGCACUACGUUAUCGACGAGUCCAGCAGCCAGAUCCACGUGGCUCAAGCCGCUCUGAUCCGGCUACAGCAGGACGCUGCCGGACAGCCGCUCGACCCGCAGAAAUACGCUGAGUUGCUAGCAACGUGUGAGACAAACAUCAAGUGUCUUCUAGUGAUUUCCGACCAUCUCAGCAGCAGCAGCAGUGUUGUCAGUUUCUUGGAGGAGGACAUAGUAACACUGUCUGACUUGGUCGGAUGCUGGGAGGAGCUACAGAGGAAGGCGUUAAGCAGUCAGCAGCAGGCGGCUGAUGUGCUGGCACUGCGCAGGGAGCUGUGCAGCGUGAGGAGUCGUCUGCUACUCGUGUGCACGCGCGGCAUCGUCGGCAGCGAGACAGAUGUGUUCGCGACCUACAGCAGUCUGGAGGUCGCCAUCCGCAUGCUGCAGGAGAGGCAGGUGCAGCUGGAGGAAGUGAAGACAAUCUUGACUGCUGUCAACGUGACACUUCACAGGUUCAUGGUUCAGCAUCCUGAUGUUGACGUCAGCAAGAUCCAGGAUGAAGUGACAGAGCUUUACCGCAGAUGGGAUGAACAGCAACAUAGCGACUCGGUGUGGUUGGGACAGCUAGAAGGAGCUCUCAAGUGCUGGCACAACAUUCGAGAUGGCUUGAUGCAGCUGCAGGGUCUUCUGAGCAGCACAGAGACAGAGAUGCUGCUACUGGAGGAGUCGAUAAAUCUUGAUGGCUCUGGCACAAUCUCCGUGGCACCUGCAGAAGCUCAGCUACGUGAUGCCAUGGUGCUUCAGGAUGAGGUGUGCAGCAUGAGCAGUCGUAUGAGCGCGUUGUCAACACUGGCACUAGACAUAGUGGCAGGAGAAGCACGCCCGAUGGAGGACAGCGAGCUAAUGCAGGACCUCAGCAAGACGGAAACGGUGCUUACAACUCUGAGGCUGAAGGUCGAUCUGCUGGUCGGGGCUCUGGAGGCGCGUGUCCGCCUCGCGACAGAUGGUCACGACGGCUGCGACCCGACACUCACCGAGUUACACGUCGUGGAUGCGGUCGAUAGUGGGGUCAGCGUCUCGGGCGAGUCCAUCGAUAGUCUGAGUCCCCGGUGGAACGUGCAGGUUUCCACCAGUAGGUGUACAUCCAAGAAGGAUGCAGCAACCACGGGCUGGGGUUCCUAUAUUUGCCGCGUGAUGAAGGCAUCCAUUGCACCGUGGCUCCUCGUGGUGGGAAUACUCAUCAUUCCCUUGUUGCUAAGGCCGGACUGCUGUGAUGAGGCAAAUACCUAUCAGUGGAUGUGGAAUCCUAGUCUGCUUCACCAGGGCUACCCCGCACCAACCUAGACCAUGUAGAAACCACUUCAAUGUAAGCACACACAGCGAUAUGAAAGUCUGAAUGCACUUAUUAGGUAUGGACCGUUGAUCAGUUUGCAUUAUUUAUAGGUGUGCAAUAAUAGCAUUUUGGGUUAUAUCAAAUGUUUUUAUCCUACUUGGCCUUUUAUUAUAUGAAAAAGUGAAUCAGACAAUUCUAUACAGACAUUAACAUAAUAGUAACAUUAUACACACAGAAUUGUAUCUUCCAUUAAUGUUACUAUUAUACUGACAAAGUUGCCCAUAUGCAUGACAGUUUUGGUAUAUGGUCUUCAUCCAUGGAGAUGUGUUGUCCUAACUUGUGCUUGUAAAUACUUGUGUAAUAAAUUCUAAACUCUCAGGAGAUAUAGCAUAUACACAAGUUUGUUUUUACCAUAAUAUUUUAUCAUGUGUAAUUUACUAACUUUGACAUCGUGUGUAGUGAAGAGUAAAUAGUUGAAUGAUCUGUUCUUAUUCAUGGAAUGGGUAUAUCUAUUUAUUGUAUCAUGGAUAUUAACAAAAGUAGAUAAUAGGGAA
Molecule: unclassified non-coding RNA, 4876 nt
Filed under: Priapulus caudatus
Lineage: Eukaryota; Metazoa; Priapulida; Priapulimorpha; Priapulimorphida; Priapulidae
Description: uncharacterized LOC106812432, transcript variant X1
Source: RNAcentral